This 468-nucleotide ribosomal RNA is filed under the name uncultured bacterium. RNAcentral's name for it is "partial 16S ribosomal RNA". It matches the Rfam family "Bacterial small subunit ribosomal RNA", at positions 28 to 507 of the family's 1533-position model. The record is from RNAcentral.
GACGAACGCUGGCGGCGUGCUUAACACAUGCAAGUCGAACGGAAAGGCCCUGCUUUCGUGGGGUGCUCGAGUGGCGAACGGGUGAGUAACACGUGAGUAACCUGCCCUUGACUUUGGGAUAACUUCAGGAAACUGGGGCUAAUACCGGAUAGGAGCUCCUGCUGCAUGGUGGGGGUUGGAAAGUUUCGGCGGUUGGGGAUGGACUCGCGGCUUAUCAGCUUGUUGGUGGGGUAGUGGCUUACCAAGGCUUUGACGGGUAGCCGGCCUGAGAGGGUGACCGGCCACAUUGGGACUGAGAUACGGCCCAGACUCCUACGGGAGGCAGCAGUGGGGAAUAUUGCACAAUGGGCGGAAGCCUGAUGCAGCAACGCCGCGUGCGGGAUGACGGCCUUCGGGUUGUAAACCGCUUUCGCCUGUGACGAAGCGUGAGUGACGGUAAUGGGUAAAGAAGCACCGGCUAACUACGCG